Molecule: transfer RNA, 71 nt
Filed under: Marmota monax (woodchuck)
Lineage: Eukaryota; Metazoa; Chordata; Mammalia; Rodentia; Sciuridae
Description: tRNA.Val
Source: RNAcentral
GUGAUUGUGGCUAAGUGGUAGAGCACUCACCUAACCUGUGUGAGGCACUGGGUUUGAGUCUCAGCACCACA